AAGCUAUCAAGCCCCCUCCUUUUUUGGUUGUAGCAGCUCCUCUGCCUCUGUGAAAGAUUCUGCAGUAUAUCGAUCAAUAAAUUUUGAGCAUUGAGAAUAAUCGGUUCGGGGAACUCUUAGCUGCACACAAGAGCUCCAACGGAUUGAAGUAUCUUCUGAGAGGAACGUGGUUGAUUGAUUACUCGGUGCAGACGGGUCGUUUCCUCUCAAAGGGUAGCACCAAAAUUCAGCUUGCUUCAAUUCACAAAUUCAUAGGCUACUCUAAUCAUUUUUUCUCUUGAUUUUAUAUUAUUAUCAUUUGAAUUUUAUUGUUUGUUUGUGGUCUAUAUUUGCUGUUUUUUAUUUAAUCUGAUUGUUAAUUUAGUAUUAAGUUUUCUUUCAAUCUUUGAGAGGAAAGCGUUCAUGCUUGAUUGUUGAAAUGGAUGUGUUGAAAUCUUUGUCUAGCAAAUUAGAAAAAUUUGAUGGACAAAAUUUCCUUUGUUGGCAACAAUAAAUGAAAUUUUGGCUUACUGAAUUAGAACUAUUUUCUGUUAUUUUGACUAAAUUUAAGGAUAAA
This 556-nucleotide unclassified non-coding RNA is filed under the name Hevea brasiliensis (rubber tree). The record is from RNAcentral. Lineage: Eukaryota; Viridiplantae; Streptophyta; Magnoliopsida; Malpighiales; Euphorbiaceae.